RNAcentral lists this ribosomal RNA (439 nucleotides) under Streptomyces flavogriseus. RNAcentral describes it as "partial 16S ribosomal RNA". Lineage: Bacteria; Bacillati; Actinomycetota; Actinomycetes; Kitasatosporales; Streptomycetaceae. The record is from RNAcentral.
CUUUCGCUUCUUCCCUGCUGAAGAGGUUUACAACCCGAAGGCCGUCAUCCCUCACGCGGCGUCGCUGCAUCAGGCUUUCGCCCAUUGUGCAAUAUUCCCCACUGCUGCCUCCCGUAGGAGUCUGGGCCGUGUCUCAGUCCCAGUGUGGCCGGUCGCCCUCUCAGGCCGGCUACCCGUCGUCGCCUUGGUAGGCCAUUACCCCACCAACAAGCUGAUAGGCCGCGGGCUCAUCCUUCACCGCCGGAGCUUUUAACCCCGUCCCAUGCGGGACAGAGUGUUAUCCGGUAUUAGACCCCGUUUCCAGGGCUUGUCCCAAAGUGAAGGGCAAAUUGCCCACGUGUUACUCACCCGUUCGCCACUAAUCCACCCCGAAAGGCUUCAUCGUUCGACUUGCAUGUGUUAAGCACGCCGCCAGCGUUCGUCCUGAGCCAGGAUCAAA